UAGGGAAUCUUCGGCAAUGGGGGCGAACCCUCGACCGACGCAACGCCGCGUGAGUGAAGAAGGUUUUCGGAUCGUAAAGCUCUGUUGUAAGAGAAGAACGUGUGUGAGAGUGGAAAGUUCACACAGUGACGGUAACUUACCAGAAAGGGACGGCUAACUACGUGCCAG
RNAcentral lists this ribosomal RNA (168 nucleotides) under uncultured bacterium. Its description in RNAcentral is "partial 16S rRNA". It matches the Rfam family "Bacterial small subunit ribosomal RNA", at positions 355 to 511 of the family's 1533-position model. The record is from RNAcentral.